GGUUGGGUUUUAAAAAACUUUCAAGAUUUGCUUAUUUGGGUCAAUAAGC
RNAcentral lists this non-coding RNA (49 nucleotides) under Lactobacillus johnsonii. RNAcentral describes it as "Na+-I sequence". It matches the Rfam family "Na+ riboswitch aptamer (DUF1646)". Rfam says of the family: Proteobacteria, NC10, Acidobacteria, Verrucomicrobia. Lineage (Clostridia) The riboswitch of Na+ was first reported in a comparative analysis of intergenic regions and called DUF1646 RNA, it was also suggested that it acts as cis-reg RNA present upstream of Na+ genes. RNAcentral also lists the same sequence under 1 other name. Lineage: Bacteria; Bacillati; Bacillota; Bacilli; Lactobacillales; Lactobacillaceae. The record is from RNAcentral.